UAACGAAGAUUCAGUUACAUUCGAUAACGAUGUGGUUGAAAUAGAUACAAUGGAGGAUCAUUCUAUUCAUACGAAUCCAAUGACAACAAAAAAGGUCCAGUUUGGACCCAUUUUGAUGAACUUCCUUCUACAGAUCCAAAUGACACAAGAAUAUGAACAAAAUGCAAGUUUUAUGAUCAUAAAUAUAUAGCUAACAGUUCACAUGGAACUAGAAAUCUACAGAAGCAUAUGAAAGUUUGUGGGGGGAAAACUAAUCAUGAUAUUCAACAAAUGCUCCUAUCUAGAGAUCAAGAAACUCUGUCAUGCUCCUACAACUUCAAACUCCACAGUUGUUCAGCCCCAAGAAGGCUCAGAUUGGAAAAAGGAUUUUCUAGCAUUUGAUGAAGUCGAUCCUGAUGCACAAAAGACUCAAUUGGAACUUUAUUUGGAUGAACCCAAGUAUUUGAAGAAGAAAACGACAUUUGACAUCCUUUUAUUUUGGAAAGGAAAUGAAUUCCGUUAUCCUGAAGUAGCUGUUAUGGCUCGUAAUAUUUUGAGUAUUCCAUUUCUUCUGUUGCUUUAUAAUCCACUUUUAGUAUUGGUGGACGUGUGAUUGAUCAGCAUAGGAGUUCACUCAAGCCUGAUAUUGUUGAGGCAUUGGUUUGCACUAGAGAUUGAUUAUAUAGAGAGCAAGGUAUUGGAGCUGAAUGACAAAGAUGUGCAUGUCAAACUAACCUGCGUUGGACCCAAUCUGAUGGGCAAUGAGAAUAUUUGUAGGUCAUUCAAGGAAUCAAGAGUGAACAAUUAUGAUGUAGUUUUUUGUAUUUGUAAAUUUGUA
Long non-coding RNA from Alnus glutinosa, 817 nucleotides. RefSeq lists it as uncharacterized. The transcript has 4 exons. The record is from RefSeq and is a predicted model, not a curated record. NCBI's taxonomy places the organism in Eukaryota, Viridiplantae, Streptophyta, Magnoliopsida, Fagales, Betulaceae.